UAUGCUGAGGGCACCCCCUGCAGGUUUGGAGCACUUCCGUUAAAGUGACUGGUUGUGCAAUGUUUUUCAUUUGCAUGCAUAAAUUACUAAGUGUACAAAAUGUCAUUUUUGGCCCUCUGGGGGACCCUGGGAUGCUCUUAGAAUGUCUCAAGCAAAAUGUUUUAUUUAUUCUUCAUUCAUUUAAGUUGUAUGUAAGAGUACGUGUGGGGUGUGAAUGUGUUUGUUUGUCUAUACGUGACCCUGCAACAGACUGGCGUCCUGUCCAGGGUGUAGCCCUCUUCAUGCCCUAUGACUGCUGGGACAGGUUCCAGCUCCCCGCAACCUGAUCUUAAAAGGAAGAAGCUGUUCGGA
Molecule: long non-coding RNA, 351 nt
Organism: Thalassophryne amazonica
Lineage: Eukaryota; Metazoa; Chordata; Actinopteri; Batrachoidiformes; Batrachoididae
Exons: 3
Source: RefSeq, a predicted model, not a curated record